RNAcentral lists this transfer RNA (68 nucleotides) under Pterostichus oblongopunctatus. Its description in RNAcentral is "tRNA-Glu". It matches the Rfam family "tRNA". Rfam says of the family: Transfer RNA (tRNA) molecules are approximately 80 nucleotides in length. The record is from RNAcentral. Lineage: Eukaryota; Metazoa; Arthropoda; Insecta; Coleoptera; Carabidae. RNAcentral also lists the same sequence under 1 other name.
AUUUAUAUAGUUUAAAGUAAAACAUUACAUUUUCACUGUAAAAAUAAAAUAUUCUAUUUUUAUAAAUA